CAAUUACAAGUUACUACAAAGUCGUUUCCGUCUGGUGGAAAUGGAAAACGACAAAACAAGCAGAGACACGGAUCUAUCCCACUUUCUACGACGGAAAGGAAACAUGUGACAAGCCAAGGAGCGCGGUUGGAUGAGAAGAAAGCCGGACCGUUAGCAAAACGGAGGAUUAAAAUGGAGUUGAUAGAGACCUGAGAACGGAUAACGUAUUAAAAUCUGCAGCGCUCGUAGUCAGAGAAGAUGGAUCAAAGAGAUCGCGAGCUUAUCGAUUGAACGGGAAGAAAAAAAAGUUUAAUAACUGCAAGUCGGUGUCGCGUUCUCUUCUCGUGGAAGAAAGAUAUAUUAAUUCAAUCUCUAAAAGAGUUUCAUUAUAGAUUAAAUCUUACGAAUAAAUGUUUUUGGAUUGCAAUAAUUGCUUGCAAAAGACAACACAUUUAAGACAGCACAUACAAUAGACAGUAUGUUAGUAUAUUAUUUUUUAAUGUUAAAAUAUUUAAAACUAUUGUCUCUUAAUCAAUAAAUAUAUAGAAAUGGUACUCUUCAUUUCAUAUAGUGUUCAGAAUAGGUAUGGCCUCCUUUCAAUAAAUUAUAACAUUAUUUUUUA
Monomorium pharaonis (pharaoh ant) is the source of this 601-nucleotide long non-coding RNA. RefSeq lists it as uncharacterized. Lineage: Eukaryota; Metazoa; Arthropoda; Insecta; Hymenoptera; Formicidae. The transcript is spliced from 2 exons. The record is from RefSeq and is a predicted model, not a curated record.